Molecule: non-coding RNA, 205 nt
Organism: Oryza glaberrima (African rice)
Lineage: Eukaryota; Viridiplantae; Streptophyta; Magnoliopsida; Poales; Poaceae
Source: Rfam
AAUAAAUGCAGCUAUAAGUUUCCGCGCUCAACUUUGACCGUCUGUCUUAUUUAAAAUAUUUUUAUAAUUACUAUUUUUGUUGUUAUAAGAGGAUAAAACAUGAAUAGAACUUUACUCGUGACUUAUGUUUUAAUUAUUUUUAAAAAAUUUUCUAUAUAAGAAGAAUGAUCAAAAUUAAACGUGAAAAACUAUUGUUGCAAUUAUU